This 534-nucleotide ribosomal RNA is filed under the name Triticum aestivum (bread wheat). RNAcentral describes it as "partial small subunit ribosomal RNA". Lineage: Eukaryota; Viridiplantae; Streptophyta; Magnoliopsida; Poales; Poaceae. The record is from RNAcentral.
AUGGACGGUGGAAAGGACAAAGGUGCGGGUGGAUACAGCGGGUACCCCGGUGGCUACCCUGCUCCGGCGGGAUAUCCCGGUUACCCUGUUCCGGUAAGCACGUAUCCGCCGGCGCCCGGAUAUGCUGCUCCACCUGGGCAGUAUGCGCCACCUCCCGGCGCGUACCCUCAGCCCGGGGGUUAUCAACCGCCGCACGUUGCGUAUCCUCCGAGCGGGUACCCUGCGACCGCUGGGUAUCCGCAAUAUCCUACGACCCACCCUCCAGCUGGUUAUCCCGCUCAAGGGCCACCAAUGCAGGUUCCUCCUUAUGGCCACGCUCCUAUGUACGGGGGAGGCGGCCAUGGCGUAGCAGGCGGUAUGGUUGCUGGCGGCGCGGCAGCGGCAGCCGCAGCAUAUGGAGCUCACAAGGUGUCGCACGGCGGCGCCCACGGGAUGUACGGCCACGGUCACCACCAGGGCAAGUUCAAGCAUGGCAAGUUCAAGCACGGCAAGUUUGGCAAGCACAAGAAGAUGUACGGCCGCAAGUGGAAGUGA